Long non-coding RNA from Ailuropoda melanoleuca (giant panda), 7054 nucleotides. RefSeq lists it as uncharacterized. The transcript is spliced from 6 exons. The record is from RefSeq and is a predicted model, not a curated record. NCBI's taxonomy places the organism in Eukaryota, Metazoa, Chordata, Mammalia, Carnivora, Ursidae.
UUUUUUUUUUUUUUUUUAAAGAUGAUUGCUGGUCUUAACUUUAGGUUAACUCUGCUGUGCUGAAGAUCAUCUUUAAGGGUAAAGGAGCUGGAUUGUUGAGUUAUACGAAACAUUUCUUAUUUUUAAAGAAAGUGAUUUAUUCCUGGUUAGUACAUUCUCAGAGGAUUCUGAACCACUAAAGAGUUUCCUUGAUUCAGACUUUGAAUGUACUGUUCUAUAAUUUUCAGGAUCUUAAAACUAACACUUAUAAAACUCUUGAGUCUAAAAAUGACCUCAUAUAGUAGUGAGGAACAUAAUUUAUGCAAUUGUAUUUUGUAUACUAUUACUGUUCUUUCACAUAUUCAGAACAUUACAUGCCUUCAAAAUGGGAUUGUACUAUACCAGUAAGUGCCGCUUCUAUGUCUUUCUAAUGGAAAUGAGUAGAAUUGCUUACAGUCUGUGUGUCUUAAAAGGUGUAGUAUUUUAAUUCAAAAAGUUUAUUUAUCUGGGUAACCCAGACUUUUUCUGUUUUGUUUUUUAGAAGGUUUUUUGUAGUAUGUCAUUUGGUAUUCCAUUUUGAAAAUGCCUUUUUCCUACCAAAAUGUGCUUAAACCACUAAAGAAAUGAAGUGGCAUUAAUUGGUAAAUGUUAUCAUGGUCAUUUUUGAAUAUUCUCACAUCAAGCUUUUGCAUCUAAAUUGUGUUGUCUCAGUAUACCUUAAAAAAUUCAAGUGGCACUGUAGAUGCUUAUAGUACUCUAAUAAUUUAAAACUUGUAGCAUACAGACUUAAUUUUUCUAAAAGGGAAAAUUUGUCUAGCUGCUUGUGAAAAGUUUUGUGGCAUUCUAUAAGCCAUUUUUUUCUUUAUCUGAUCAAAGACAGUGUUAUUUUUUUAAGAAAUGAAUUACAUUUAAAAUUAGGGUAUGGUUAAUGUUAAAUAAUAGGCCUUUUUCUAGAGGUAAAGGUAGUUAAUCAUUUGAAUAGGUAACAGGUGUGCAAGAGAGUCACAUUUGUUAUGUAGGAGUCCGUGUUCAGUGGACUUUCUGUCUUUGUAACUAAGGUUAGAGUUAGCGUGGUUCUGAGGUCUCACUACACUUUGAGGAAGGCAGCUUCUAAUUCAGUCUUUCCUUCUGUGUGCAGAUACUGCCACUGCUUAAUUUACAUGAUUAGGUAAUAAGUUUAGUACACCCUUGAUAUUUGGGAGAAUGGUAGCUAAAGAACAUUCUGAGUAUAGGUUCUCCAUUUACAGAUGUUUUCAGUCAAAUUCAGUGUUUAAAGCAAACUCGUCAUGGUCUUCACACUAAGUUGAAACUAGCUUAUAAUAACUGGUUUUUACUUCCAGUGCUAAAAGUCUUUUAGGGCUUUUACAGUUUUCAGAGCUCUCUUUAUCACUGUGAUCUUAUUCUGAUGGGAGAAAAACUAUCAUAGCAAUGAGGCAAGACAUUGACUUUAUAGUGCUAUCAAUUUCCAAAUGAAAGGGUCAGAAUAACCUUUAUAGUAUUUGGUAAGAGAUAGUGGCCAUUUACUCUGACUGAGCUGCAUUCUGAUUAUGUCUUAUCUGUUAAACAUAGAAUAAAUUUGAAAGACUAUUUGGUCUUAAAGCCAAAGUAAUUUUAGAAUGAAUGAUAUAUGCAUAGGAAUUUAGUGUCAAUUUCAUGUGUUUAAAAACAUCAUGGGGAAAAUGUGCUUAGAGGUUAAUAUUUUGACUCCAAAUUUGAGGGCUUUUUUUUGUAGCUACCAUGAUUUUGUCAAAACAAAUGAAUGAGUUUGAGGGGUUUGUUUUAUAAUUGUGUUAUAUUUCCUGUUUAAUAAUCUCUAGCUCUGUGAUUAGGUAUAUAUAUAUAUUAUAUAUAUAUAUAUAUAUUUUUUUUUUUUUUUGGCCAUUUCUAAGCCUACCAGAUCUGCUUUAUGAAAUCCAGGGGACCAAUGCUAAAACUAUUUUUAUAUAAUUUUAAGAACAUACCAAAAGUUCUUGUCUGAUUUAAAAUUGAGAUACAUGAUUUCUCACUUUCAUGUAAGGUAAUCAACUUUUACUGAAGAUACUCUUUAUUAAAUCAAAGAUUGAGUUGCAAUUAUACUAUUUUUGCCUAAGUGGUUAAAAUGUACUUUUGGUGAGUCAGGGAAUUUUUUUAAAAGCUGGAGUUUAGUUCUAAAUUCGGUUUACGUAUUACUGCAGCAAAUUCCUUUUUUGGCUAAUGACAGUUUGAUAAACCCCAAUUAGUUAAUAUUGAAAAUGAAAGUCACUUAAAAAUGAAAUAGAUCAUUAUUACCAUGGCCAUAACUGCAGAUACGUUUGACUAGAGUAUUAAUUUUGUCAUUUAGAUACACAAGCCUUUGUUUAUACUGCCUAUCUUCAGAUGCUCACCUUCCAAAAUUAAACUUGGUUUAAAAUAUACCUUCAGACCAAUUACCUGUCCACAUCCAUUUUAUCAGUUCUCCGGAGGAAUGGGGAUGAGGGAGGUAUGACCCAGUGGGGCACAGGUAUCCCUGGUCCUUCCUUCCUGACUUCACCUUAAGUUUCUCUCAACCUGCCUUCCUGCUAGUCCCUGCCUCAGAGACUAAUUGCCUUGCUGCCACGCUUCCCCGCCCAUCUCCCCUCAGCAGCCUUUUGACUGAAUAGCUGCUUUUGAAAUCUAUAGUAAAAUGGUUGAUGGAAGUGGGAGACAUGGUUCCAUUUCCUUGAGUCACUGGAUGUUGCUGGGAGGGUUCUCUGAGUUUGGAGGUGGGGUGCAUGAUGGCCCUGCUGGCUGCCUUGUUGUGACUUAGGCUAUGGCCAAGGAGUGGGAAGGCAGCAAGGCAGCAGCUAUGGCAGCAGGAGCUGUGCCAGAAGCAGCGGCACAUCCCACCCUCUAGAGGACAGGGUGCGGUCUGGAGAGCCGAGCCUGUACUUCUGCCGUGGUGACAGUGCUCAAGAAGUGCCUUGAGUCCGUGCACAGUGACAUGGUUAAUAACAUCAGGAAUUCCAGUUUCAGUUCUCGUUACAAAAUUUAAGUGGUCACUUGGCCAUUUUGCAGCCCAUGCAUGAGCUACCUUUAGUUCCGCCUCCGCAUCCGAGAACUGUCUCACAUAGAAUAUUUUAUAAAACAAAAUGGCAUAGUGCUAAUUAAAAUGCAGAACAAAACCCGUAUCCCAUUAGACAUGUCCUAUCGAGUUUAUUUUUAUCCUUGCACUGAAAGAGGUAUUGUAAGUCAACUGUUGAUUUUGUUUCUUGACUGUGGCAGUGUUCUGGCUCCAAAUGAUGGAGAUUCUGUUACAGCUUGGCAGGAAACACCAGUUCAGAUAUUUCUGAGAUCCUAAAGAAUAGGUCUGGACAUGUAAUCUGUAGCUCCUAGUGUCUGUUUUGGAAUGCUGGACUACCCAUGGGCCCUCUCUCUAGAAAGGCUGGAAUUCUAAGACAUUCUGAGGAUUGUCAGUACAUUUAAACUUUUCAACACCAUUAUGCAAUCUUAUUUGUAAUUGUAGACUUUAAAGAAUGUGUUUAAUAACAUUCAACCUGUUUCUUAAAGCUUAAAAAAAGAACUUAAGUGAAUUUGUUUUUAUUUUUUAACAAGAUUUGUGAAUUGAAUAUCAUGAACCGUGUUUUGAUAUCCCUUUUUCACAUUGUGCCAAUGGAAUGGGGUGUUUGAUAUUUCUUUAUAUGUCAAGGAGAUGCUUCAAAAUGUCAAUUGCUUUAAACUUAAAUUACCUCUCAAGAGACCAAGGUACAUUUACCUCAUUGUAUAUAUAAUGUUUAAUAUUUGUCAGAGCAUUCUCCAGGUUUGCAGUUUUAUUUCUAUAAAGUAUGAGUGUUAUGUUGCUAAAUUACUCAAAUGGUACUGUAUUGUUUAUAUUUGUACCCCAAAUAACAUCUUCUAUGGUUUUUGUUUUCUGUAUUUUAUUGUAUUUGUGCAAAAUUCUUUGGCUUUAUCAGUGUGAUCUCUGCCCUUUCAGAUGUGUACAGAAAAUGUCCAUAUAAAUUUUCAUUUAAGUUGAAUGAUUUUGAGAAACCUGUAAAGAGGAAAGAAAAACAAAAACUGCAGUUCCCCAUAAGUUUUUAAAAGUUGCAUAUUGUAUUUGUAGUAAUAUUCUGAAGGAGUUGUAAAUAGGGAGUAGAAGAGCGAUGCUUAUGUGAAGUCCUAACACUACAGUAGAAAAAUGGAAGCAAUGCCAAUAAAUGACUUUUCCCCAAGUGCUGGUGGUGUAAUUUAAAAUAAAGUGUGUAUGUUGGAUCCCGAGCCAUGCUGUUAUGAAAUGUAGUUGCUGUAGAUAGACAUUAGAAUUUUUGAAUUAUUCCCCAGUACAAGUGACAUCGUAACGUGGUUGAGAAGUGCCCGCCUGCCCCAAGAUGUCUCCAUGGGCGUCGUAGCUUCUUCCCAUGUGCGCAGGGGUUGCUCAUCUGUCAGUGGACAGGCUGGGACCUGCCUGCCUGUGAACUACGUUGCCUCUUGCUCAGCAGAUUUGCUAAGGUUGUGUUAAAGUGAUGUUAUUAUUUUGAUUCUCAAAGUUUUGCAGUUAUUUUCAAAAGAAAUUUAGAGUGUUUUCAUCUUUCCUAAUUUAAGGAUUUAUGAGAAUUGGCAUAAUUUGUAGAAAUAGGCUUUGCUUUUUUUUUUUAAGUAGAUUUGAACAGUUAGUAUGCUGGGAGUGGGAACUUGGCUCAUGAGAAAACUGAGCAGAUAGUAGAUAAGGAGAUGUGGCCCCCAAACUCUUGACUAAUGGUUGGGAGUGGUUUUGUGGAUUGGCUUGCUCUUGCAUUACAGACUGUCACUUCAAUUCAAAGACUGGACUUAGGGAUUUUUCCCCCCUUUCUCCAUAAUAAGACACGUAACCAGGACAUAGAGCUUUUGUUGAAAGAUGGAAAAAAAGUGAAAUUAUUUUUAAAACAUAGAUUCAGAGAAACAGCAGAACCAUCUUUAUAUACUGGUCUCUUCGAAUUUAGAAAAAAUGUUUUUACAUAUGUGGUCUUAUGGUCUCUGCACUUUUUGUUUGUUUUACAGUUGAGGAUUUACAAAACAAUGGAGCUAUUCUGAAAGAUGAGUAGAAAAACUUGAUGUUAUAAAAGCUAAGGGUCAGUCGUGCAGGGGUCAGCCGUGCAUAAUUUUUAAGAACGGGGAAAGAAACAACACGAAAUCAUUAUAGAAAUAAAGGAUACUUUAUGAGAGCUAAAGAGAAACGGAAAAGGAAGCUCCAGGGAUUUUUGGCUGGGAGGAUUUGGAUACUACUGGCUUUCAAAAAUGAAGGCAAAAAACUAAAGAGAUAAAAAGACUCCAUUUGUUGCCUGUGGAUCUGCUUUUAAAGAAACCUUUCAGAAUGAAAAUAAAUGACACCAGAUGGUCACUUGAAUCCACAGGAUGGAAGGAAGACUACUGGAAAUGGAAGAAUGUGUCUCUGACAGCUGCUGUUCUGAGGAGAAUAUGGAGUCUUGUGGAGCAAAUGUGAAUUCAGCUCAAACCUGGAGCCAACCCUAGCCGCCCUCCGCCGGAGCAGAGCUGCCCCAGCCCAAGCACAGACGUGUGAGUGAAAAAAAAACAAUGCUUAUCGUUGGAUGCCACCGAGUUCUGUGGAUCGUUGUGCAGCAAGAGUGUGGCAACAGCUGACUAAUACACCAUUCUCAUAUUCCUGCUGUGGGGACUGAAAUAUGCCCAGUACACAGUAAGCACCCACUACAUGGUAAUAUCUAUUAUUAUUAUUACCAUUAUUAUUACUACUACGACGACGACACAAAAGGACCUACAACAAUGUGACAGUCAUCUCAAGCAUUUGCUGGCGUCUCAAGGUCCUGUUUGAAAGGAAGUCACAGGCUCUGCGGGGGUCGCCUUUAUGUGGGAACAAAUACCGUGUUUUGUAAGAAAAGCUGGCCCCUUUGGACUCCCCUUUCCAGCUGCACCAGGAGGAGCUCAGGCUCUCACCCCAGAGCAAAGGCUCAGAGACGUACCUCGCCCAAUGUCACCACCUGGGAAGUGGCAGAGCAGGGACUCUGGAUCCGAGUUGUCUAACUACGUAGCAAGAGCUCUGCCCCCUGCCCUAGCCCCUUCUGCUGUGUGCAGGGACCACUGGAGUGAACAAUGGUGACACCGAGGGAGGCAGGAAGUGGACUCCGCUCAGCGGAGGCGAUGUCUGUACACCGGGGACUCUCCUCACAGCAUUCCGCAGAACCCAUGACGAGAGCUUCCAGAAAACAAGAGCACGGCAGCUCUAGGAACACUCCCCCUGAACACCUGUUGCCUUAGCUCGGGCUGCCCUAACAACCGCAAAGAUGGCGGGCUCAGACAACAGCCAUCUACUCUCUCAAAGUUCCGGGGGCUGGAAGUCCAUGGUCAAGGUGCCAACAGCAUUGGUUCCUGGGCCCCAUCCACGAUACAUUACAUCUAGUCGGCACGGCUUCUUGGGCUCCUCUCGUCUGUGACAGUUCCUCAGACUCGCCCCACGUUCGAGGAUUAGUUUGGAGGAGUGCUCAUCAGAGUGUCGCCUUUGGAAGGAAGUCACCAUGCAUAGCCCCCAAAAUAACAAAGAGGGAGUUAUGAUUCACCUUCUUGACGUGGGGAUAUCUUCUGCCAGAAAAAUUGGUUUCCUGCCUCCAUUUAUUUGUUUGUCAUUUAUUCAGAUCACUAUGGACUCAUGGAUAUUUACUUUAUAUUUUGGAUUAUAAUCUGGUACUAUUUUAUUUAUUUUGUCGCUCCUGUGUCCCAGUGACCUAGCUCCCACUCCGUCAAUGUGGAUUUUAAACUUUUUUUUUUUAAGCACUUUCUUCGUUUUUGGUGCUACUAGUUGCUCUAGGCUCAGCUUGCGUAUUUUCUGUGCGAUCCUGGGAUCAGCCAUUUCUCUAUGGAGCUUUGGUUCCUUCUAUUGGUGGAUGGAAUUAGACAUCAUGGUUCAGGUGCUCUGUGGGCUUGUUGCUGCCAAAGUGUUCUGGCCAUUUUCGAGGCCUCUCCGCUGAGAAGACAAGGAAACGCAGUGUGUACAUCAACCUGUGUGUAUAUGCAUGACUAUAUGUAUGUCUUUAUUUUUAAAACAAUUUUUAAAAAGAUUUUAUUUAUGUAUUUGAGAGAGAGAGAGAGCCAGGGGAGGGACAGAGAGAGAGGGAGAGAAUCUUAAGCAGAC